GUAACAAGGUUUCCGUAGGUGAACCUGCGGAAGGAUCAUUAUUGAAUAAAGCUUGGUUAGGUUGUCGCUGGCUCUCCGGGGCAUGUGCACGCCUGACGCCAAUCUUUUCACCACCUGUGCACAUUUUGUAGGCUUGGAUAAAUAUGUCUCGAGGAAGCUCGGUUUGAGGACUGCCGUGCUGCAAAAGCCAGGCUUUCCUUGUAUUUUUCCAGCCUAUGCAUUUUAUUAUACCCUCGGUAUGUCAUGGAAUGUUAUUUGGUUGGCUUAAUUGCCAGUAAACCUUAUACAACUUUCAACAACGGAUCUCUUGGCUCUCGCAUCGAUGAAGAACGCAGCGAAAUGCGAUAAGCAACGUGAAUUGCAGAAUUCAGUGAAUCAUCGAAUCUUUGAACGCACCUUGCGCUCCUUGGUAUUCCGAGGAGCAUGCCUGUUUGAGUGUCAUGAAAUUCUCAACCUUUCCAGCUCUUUGUUGAAUAGGCUUGGAUUUUGGGAGUUGUUGCAGGCUGCUCAGAAGUCUGCUCUCCUUAAAUGUAUUAGCGGGGCCCUUGUUGUCUAGCAUUUGGUGUGAUAAUUAUCUCACGCCAUUGUGAACAAUGUAAUAAGGACUACCCGCUCGAACUUAAGCAUAUCAAUAAGCGGAGAGAAAAGAAACUAACAAGGAUUCCCCUAGUAACUGCGAGUGAAGCGGGAAAAGCUCAAAUUUAAAAAU
RNAcentral lists this ribosomal RNA (709 nucleotides) under Tricholoma matsutake. Its description in RNAcentral is "eukaryotic LSU rRNA". The stretch from base 288 to 441 matches the Rfam family "5.8S ribosomal RNA". Lineage: Eukaryota; Fungi; Basidiomycota; Agaricomycetes; Agaricales; Tricholomataceae. The record is from RNAcentral.